Molecule: transfer RNA, 85 nt
Filed under: Hymenobacter sp.
Lineage: Bacteria; Pseudomonadati; Bacteroidota; Cytophagia; Cytophagales; Hymenobacteraceae
Description: tRNA-Ser
Rfam family: tRNA
About the family: Transfer RNA (tRNA) molecules are approximately 80 nucleotides in length. Their secondary structure includes four short double-helical elements and three loops (D, anti-codon, and T loops).
Source: RNAcentral
AGAGAGUUACCUAAGUGGUUAAAGGAACGGUUUGCUAAACCGUAGUCGGGCAACUGGCUCGUGAGUUCGAUCCUCACACUCUCUA